This is a long non-coding RNA of Megalobrama amblycephala (Wuchang bream), 279 nucleotides long. RefSeq lists it as uncharacterized. Lineage: Eukaryota; Metazoa; Chordata; Actinopteri; Cypriniformes; Xenocyprididae. The transcript has 2 exons. The record is from RefSeq and is a predicted model, not a curated record.
CCAUAUAGAGAGAGAGUUGCGACAACUCCAUAGACUCCAAUGGAACGGUUUUUUACAGCAAUGGCGGCUCGUGGAGCCUCUCAAUAGUUCCCGGAAGUAGCAGCCGCGCCGUAGAGUUACAGCAGAACAGACCGUUUGUGAUGCACUUUUAAAAGCACAAAGGGGAUUCAGAUCCUGAAGACUCCAUGCAAUGAUGCUGUCACCGCCAGUCUCUGCUCCUUGGAUUUUGCAAGCUUUUCCUUGCUCCUUAUUUUUAAUAAACCUUUAAUAAACAUAAAA